This 293-nucleotide ribosomal RNA is filed under the name uncultured eukaryote. Its description in RNAcentral is "partial 18S ribosomal RNA". It matches the Rfam family "Eukaryotic small subunit ribosomal RNA", at positions 6 to 303 of the family's 1831-position model. The record is from RNAcentral.
GGUUGAUCCUGCCAGUAGUCAUAUGCUUGUCUCAAAGAUUAAGCCAUGCAUGUCUAAGUAUAAACACUUGUACUGUGAAACUGCGAAUGGCUCAUUAAAUCAGUUAUAGUUUAUUUGAUAGUCCCUUACUACAUGGAUAACCGUGGUAAUUCUAGAGCUAAUACAUGCACAAAGGCCCGACUCCGGAAGGGCUGUAUUUAUUAGAUAAAAAACCGACGCAGUCUACUGCACCCGAGGUGAUUCAUAAUAACUUUUCGAAUCAAGGGCCCUGAGCGCUUGAUGUUUCAUUCAAA